RNAcentral lists this ribosomal RNA (257 nucleotides) under uncultured bacterium. RNAcentral describes it as "partial 16S ribosomal RNA". It matches the Rfam family "Bacterial small subunit ribosomal RNA", at positions 99 to 354 of the family's 1533-position model. The record is from RNAcentral.
CGGACGGGUGAGUAACGCGUGAGUAACCUGCCUUUCAGAGGGGGAUAACGUCUUGAAAAGGACGCUAAUACCGCAUAAUAUCUUUUUACCGCAUGGCAGAGAGAUCAAAGGAGCAAUCCGCUGAAAGAUGGACUCGCGUCCGAUUAGCCAGUUGGCGGGGUAACGGCCCACCAAAGCGACGAUCGGUAGCCGGACUGAGAGGUUGAACGGCCACAUUGGGACUGAGACACGGCCCAGACUCCUACGGAAGGCAGCAG